AGAGUUUGAUCAUGGCUCAGAAUGAACGUUGGCGGCGUGGAUUAGGCAUGCAAGUCGUGCGAGAAGUCCCUUUCGGGGGAUGGACAGCGGCGAAAGGGAGAGUAAUACGUAGAAAUCUGCCCCCUGGUCUGGGAUAGCGUCGGGAAACUGGCGGUAAUACCGGAUAAAGUCUUCGGACCAAAGGUGAGAUUCCGCCGGGGGAUGAGUCUACGACCUAUUAGCUAGUUGGCGGGGUAAUGGCCCACCAAGGCAAUGAUGGGUAGCGGGUGUGAGAGCAUGACCCGCCUCACUGGGACUGAGACACUGCCCAGACAUCUACGGAUGGCUGCAGUCGAGAAUCUUUAUCAAUGGACGAAAGUCUGAACAAGCGACGCCGCGUGCGGGAUGAAGGCCUUCGGGUUGUAAACCGCUGUCGUAAGGGAGCAAAUCCAAGGGGGUUCUCCCCCUUGGUUGAGUGAUCUUAGGAGGAAGGACGGGCUAAGUUCGUGCCAGCAGCCGCGGUAAGACGAACCGUCCGAACGUUAUUCGGUAUCACUGGGCUUAAAGAGUUCGUAGGCGGCCAUGUAGGUCAGGUGUGAAAUCCCACAGCUCAACUGUGGAACUGCGCUUGAAACCACAUGGCUUGAGGAAGAUAGAGGUGAGUGGAACUGAUGGUGGAGCGGUGAAAUGCGUUGAUAUCAUCAGGAACACCGGUGGCGAAAGCGGCUCACUGGAUCUUUUCUGACGCUGAGGAACGAAAGCUAGGGUAGCGAACGGGAUUAGAUACCCCGGUAGUCCUAGCCGUAAACGAUGAGCACUAGUCCGUGGGGACCCUCACAUCUUCUCGGACGUAGCGAAAGUGUUAAGUGCUCCGCCUGGGGAGUAUGGUCGCAAGGCUGAACUCA
Molecule: ribosomal RNA, 884 nt
Filed under: uncultured bacterium
Lineage: Bacteria
Description: bacterial SSU rRNA
Rfam family: Bacterial small subunit ribosomal RNA
Source: RNAcentral